AAAUUUACAGUAAUAUGGAAAACAUCAUCCUCACCUGCUGGUCCAUGAGCAGGUCCACUACCUGGAGGCCUAGGCUGGUAGGGAUCCAGCUGUUCUGAG
This is a long non-coding RNA of Melanotaenia boesemani (Boeseman's rainbowfish), 99 nucleotides long. RefSeq lists it as uncharacterized. The transcript has 3 exons. The record is from RefSeq and is a predicted model, not a curated record. Lineage: Eukaryota; Metazoa; Chordata; Actinopteri; Atheriniformes; Melanotaeniidae.